RNAcentral lists this ribosomal RNA (753 nucleotides) under uncultured Comamonadaceae bacterium. Its description in RNAcentral is "bacterial SSU rRNA". It matches the Rfam family "Bacterial small subunit ribosomal RNA", at positions 28 to 776 of the family's 1533-position model. Lineage: Bacteria; Pseudomonadati; Pseudomonadota; Betaproteobacteria; Burkholderiales; Comamonadaceae. The record is from RNAcentral.
AUUGAACGCUGGCGGCAUGCCUUACACAUGCAAGUCGAACGGCAGCACGGGAGCAAUCCUGGUGGCGAGUGGCGAACGGGUGAGUAAUACAUCGGAACGUGCCCAAUCGUGGGGGAUAACGCAGCGAAAGCUGUGCUAAUACCGCAUACGAUCUACGGAUGAAAGCAGGGGAUCGCAUGACCUUGCGCGAAUGGAGCGGCCGAUGGCAGAUUAGGUAGUCGGUGAGGUAAAGGCUCACCAAGCCGUCGAUCUGUAGCUGGUCUGAGAGGACGACCAGCCACACUGGGACUGAGACACGGCCCAGACUCCUACGGGAGGCAGCAGUGGGGAAUUUUGGACAAUGGGCGAAAGCCUGAUCCAGCCAUGCCGCGUGCAGGAUGAAGGCCUUCGGGUUGUAAACUGCUUUUGUACGGAACGAAACGGCCUUCUCUAAUAAAGAGGGCUAAUGACGGUACCGUAAGAAUAAGCACCGGCUAACUACGUGCCAGCAGCCGCGGUAAUACGUAGGGUGCAAGCGUUAAUCGGAAUUACUGGGCGUAAAGCGUGCGCAGGCGGUUAUGUAAGACAGUUGUGAAAUCCCCGGGCUCAACCUGGGAACUGCAUCUGUGACUGCAUAGCUAGAGUACGGUAGAGGGGGAUGGAAUUCCGCGUGUAGCAGUGAAAUGCGUAGAUAUGCGGAGGAACACCGAUGGCGAAGGCAAUCCCCUGGACCUGUACUGACGCUCAUGCACGAAAGCGUGGGGAGCAAACAGG